This 313-nucleotide ribosomal RNA is filed under the name uncultured eukaryote. RNAcentral describes it as "partial large subunit ribosomal RNA". It matches the Rfam family "Eukaryotic large subunit ribosomal RNA", at positions 40 to 350 of the family's 3401-position model. The record is from RNAcentral.
AUAUCAAUAAGCGGAGGAAAAGAAACUAACCAGGAUUCCCCUAGUAACGGCGAGUGAAGCGGGACGAGCUCAAAUUUGUAAUCUGGCUGCUUUGCAGUCCGAGUUGUAAUCUCGAGAAGUGUUUUCCGCGCUGGCGGGCAUACAAGUCUGUUGGAAUACAGCGUCAUAGUGGUGAGAACCCCGUAGAUGAUGCCCUGUCCAGUGCUCUGUGAUACACUUUCGAAGAGUCGAGUUGUUUGGGAAUGCAGCUCAAAGUGGGUGGUAAAUUCCAUCUAAAGCUAAAUAUUGGCGAGAGACCGAUAGCGCACAAGUA